Molecule: ribosomal RNA, 188 nt
Filed under: uncultured bacterium
Lineage: Bacteria
Description: partial 16S ribosomal RNA
Rfam family: Bacterial small subunit ribosomal RNA
Source: RNAcentral
CCUACACGAAGUCGGAAUCGCUAGUAAUCGCGGAUCAGCAUGCCGCGGUGAAUACGUUCCCGGGCCUUGUACACACCGCCCGUCACACCAUGAGAGUUGGCAAUACCCAACGUACGCGAUCUAACCCGCAAGGGAGGAAGCAUCCUAAGGUAGGGUCAGCGAUUGGGGUGAAGUCGUAACAAGGUAGC